RNAcentral lists this ribosomal RNA (1443 nucleotides) under Enterococcus mundtii. Its description in RNAcentral is "16S ribosomal RNA". It matches the Rfam family "Bacterial small subunit ribosomal RNA". Lineage: Bacteria; Bacillati; Bacillota; Bacilli; Lactobacillales; Enterococcaceae. The record is from RNAcentral.
GACGAACGCUGGCGGCGUGCCUAAUACAUGCAAGUCGAACGCUUCUUUUCCCACCGGAGCUUGCUCCACCGGGAAAAGAGGAGUGGCGAACGGGUGAGUAACACGUGGGUAACCUGCCCAUCAGAAGGGGAUAACACUUGGAAACAGGUGCUAAUACCGUAUAACAAUCGAAACCGCAUGGUUUCGUUUUGAAAGGCGCUUUACGGUGCCGCUGAUGGAUGGACCCGCGGUGCAUUAGCUAGUUGGUGAGGUAACGGCUCACCAAGGCCACGAUGCAUAGCCGACCUGAGAGGGUGAUCGGCCACAUUGGGACUGAGACACGGCCCAAACUCCUACGGGAGGCAGCAGUAGGGAAUCUUCGGCAAUGGACGAAAGUCUGACCGAGCAACGCCGCGUGAGUGAAGAAGGUUUUCGGAUCGUAAAACUCUGUUGUUAGAGAAGAACAAGGGUGAGAGUAACUGUUCACCCCUUGACGGUAUCUAACCAGAAAGCCACGGCUAACUACGUGCCAGCAGCCGCGGUAAUACGUAGGUGGCAAGCGUUGUCCGGAUUUAUUGGGCGUAAAGCGAGCGCAGGCGGUUUCUUAAGUCUGAUGUGAAAGCCCCCGGCUCAACCGGGGAGGGUCAUUGGAAACUGGGAGACUUGAGUGCAGAAGAGGAGAGUGGAAUUCCAUGUGUAGCGGUGAAAUGCGUAGAUAUAUGGAGGAACACCAGUGGCGAAGGCGGCUCUCUGGUCUGUAACUGACGCUGAGGCUCGAAAGCGUGGGGAGCAAACAGGAUUAGAUACCCUGGUAGUCCACGCCGUAAACGAUGAGUGCUAAGUGUUGGAGGGUUUCCGCCCUUCAGUGCUGCAGCUAACGCAUUAAGCACUCCGCCUGGGGAGUACGACCGCAAGGUUGAAACUCAAAGGAAUUGACGGGGGCCCGCACAAGCGGUGGAGCAUGUGGUUUAAUUCGAAGCAACGCGAAGAACCUUACCAGGUCUUGACAUCCUUUGACCACUCUAGAGAUAGAGCUUCCCCUUCGGGGGCAAAGUGACAGGUGGUGCAUGGUUGUCGUCAGCUCGUGUCGUGAGAUGUUGGGUUAAGUCCCGCAACGAGCGCAACCCUUAUUGUUAGUUGCCAUCAUUUAGUUGGGCACUCUAGCAAGACUGCCGGUGACAAACCGGAGGAAGGUGGGGAUGACGUCAAAUCAUCAUGCCCCUUAUGACCUGGGCUACACACGUGCUACAAUGGGAAGUACAACGAGUCGCGAAGUCGCGAGGCUAAGCUAAUCUCUUAAAGCUUCUCUCAGUUCGGAUUGUAGGCUGCAACUCGCCUACAUGAAGCCGGAAUCGCUAGUAAUCGCGGAUCAGCACGCCGCGGUGAAUACGUUCCCGGGCCUUGUACACACCGCCCGUCACACCACGAGAGUUUGUAACACCCGAAGUCGGUGAGGUAACCUUU